Molecule: ribosomal RNA, 1292 nt
Filed under: Meroplius fukuharai
Lineage: Eukaryota; Metazoa; Arthropoda; Insecta; Diptera; Sepsidae
Description: 16S ribosomal RNA
Rfam family: Archaeal large subunit ribosomal RNA (bases 1042-1200)
Source: RNAcentral
UUUAAAUUUUGUUAUUAGAAAUAACUAUACAAAUUUUGGUUUGAGUAUUUUAUAAAGAAAAAAUAAUUUUUAUAAUAGUUAAUUAGUAUUGUGAAAGAAAAUUGAAAUAAUUUGAAAAAUUUUUAUAGAAAAAGAAAAUUUAAUUUGUUGUACCUUGUGUAUCAGGGUUUAUCAAUUAAAAAAUAAAUAUUUAUUUUUCUCGAUUUUAGAAGAGUUAAUAAAUUAUUAAAGUUAUUGUGAUAAAAUUAUUUUAAAUAAUUUAUUAGAAAUGAAACGUUAUUCGUUUUUAAUGGUAUCUAGUUUUUUUAGAAAUAAAUUUAAUUUAGAAUUUAUUAAGUAAAUAUUUAGUUAAAUUAAUUAUUUAUUUAAAUAAGUUUAAUAUACUAUGGGAUAAGCUGUGGUAUAAAUUUUUAAAAAUUUUAUAUAUUUACAAAAAUGUAUGCUUAGAAUUAGCAAUCUUUAAUAAGUUUGUUAUAAAUUAUUUGUAGAUAGUUAUAAUUUAUUAUGUUUUAAUUAUAUAUAAAAAUAUUUUUUUGAAUUUUUUAAAAAAAGUAAUAAUGAUAAAAUUAGUAUAUUAUAUUGUUAGUAAAAUUUAAAAAGAAAAGUUUAUUUAAAGAAUUCGGCAAAUUUUAUGCUCGCCUGUUUAACAAAAACAUGUCUUUUUGUGUUAAUUUUAAAGUCUGACCUGCCCACUGAAUUUUAAAUGGCCGCAGUAUCCUAACUGUGCAAAGGUAGCAUAAUCAUUAGUCUUUUAAUUGAAGGCUGGUAUGAAUGGUUGGACGAGGUAUAAGCUGUUUCAAUUAAAUUUAUUAUAGAAUUUUAUUUUUUAGUUAAAAAGCUAAAAUUUUGUUAAAAGACGAGAAGACCCUAUAAAUCUUUAUUUUUGUGAAAAUUUUAAUUAUAAAGAUACAUUUUGUUAUAAUUUUUACAAAAAUUUUAUUGGGGUGAUAUUAAAAUUUAAUAAACUUUUAAUUAUUAAAAGACAUUGAUUUAUGAAUAAUUGAUCCAUUAAUAAUGAUUAAAAAUUUAAGUUACUUUAGGGAUAACAGCGUAAUUUUUUUGGAGAGUUCAUAUCGAUAAAAAAGAUUGCGACCUCGAUGUUGGAUUAAGAAAAAUUUUAGGUGUAGCCGCUUAAAUGUUAAGUCUGUUCGACUUUUAAAUUCUUACAUGAUCUGAGUUCAGACCGGCGUAAGCCAGGUUGGUUUCUAUCUUUAAUUCAUUAUAAUAUUUUAGUACGAAAGGACCAAAUAUUAGAAUAAUUAUAUUUUUUAAUAAGAAUAUUAUUAAUGAGA